Bombus terrestris (buff-tailed bumblebee) is the source of this 4667-nucleotide long non-coding RNA. RefSeq lists it as uncharacterized. NCBI's taxonomy places the organism in Eukaryota, Metazoa, Arthropoda, Insecta, Hymenoptera, Apidae. The record is from RefSeq and is a predicted model, not a curated record. The transcript is spliced from 2 exons.
GCUACAAUCAGGUAUUCGUUUCAGCCUCUAAAUUUUAUAACGAGUUCUAUAAUACAUCUCCUUUGGAUAUUUUAUACAUUUUAUGUAUUACGUUCAUUUUUCAUUUUCACAAUUCCGAUACACGUAUAAACGUCCGCAGUAUAAAUAUUACAUUGCUAAAUAAGAUAUUGAUGUAUUGAUGUCGAUGAAAUUCAAACUUCAAACAAUAACUCGAUGAAAACCUCGUUUCACGGCUCAUUUUCGUUAUCAUGUUCACUUCCCCGGCCAUCCUUCGCUUCUCGAAGGUACUUCUCCGUCUUAAUUGCCCCAUUGUUCGCGAUAUUCGUCCUCCACGAUGCCCUUCCGGGGCAUACGCGAGAAAGGGGCAGAAAAAGCAACCGAGAAGAAAGCGAUGAGAAGUGGGGAGAGGAAAAAUCUUUUCGCCGUUCAUCCUCGCCACUUCACUCGCGAGCACUUCGCCGCCGUUUCAGUGACGCGUUGCACCUUUUUAUUGGCACGCGUACUGGUUUACUUCUCUCUCUUUUUUUUCGAGUUCCCGGGACUCCCGUUAUUCACACCGCUCAUUGUACUUCGAGUGCGACUGCAAACGCGCUGCGGACUCUCUCGACAAGAAUGCAAUUUCUGCAAUGACUUUUUUCCAAACUGAUAUAGCCACCGAUUCUCUCCUUUCUUCUCUUUCCCCUUUUCCGAUUAAAUUGAAAUAAAAUUGUUUUCCUCCCUUUGUCGUUUCGUAAUUACUUUUAUUGCUUGUUUUAUUGCUUGUUCGAUAAACAGUAUAGCACAGUAGAUGAACUGGAAAAUGGAUUAAAUGAUUUCAGAGAAUAACUUGUAGGUAAAUCCCUCGAUAAAUUCUGUACUAUAUGGAACAUUCUUCUGUCUUACUUCCGUGGAAAAUCGUUUGUUUUGAUAUGGGACAGAUCGUAAAGCUUAAAGUUGUACAGGAAUUUUGUAAUUACAUUUAUCGUUUAUUCUAAUACUUUUUGAAACAGUAAGUGUCGAAUCGGAAAGUUGACUUAAUGAUUUUGAAAGACAAUUCGUAAGACGUCACGUCAGCGGCUGUAAGUGACGGAACAAUUUCAGUGUGUAAGCUGAUUCUGGUAAUUUGCGUAAUCGUAGCUUGAUUGCUCUCCGAGUUAGGCCUAGUUGUCGAGCUAAGUGAAACGCAAUUGCCUUGCAACUGUGUAACUAAAUUUCCAAGACUGAUGACAUCGCGCUAACUAAGUUAUUAGGGACAAAAAUCUGUCUUUCUGCUACCGAAUGAAUCAUGCCAGGGGAAAUACAAUCUGCUUUACACUAGUAUCAACACCAACGGAAGGGGGAAUUAUUUACAAGUAAUUACCGGGCUUCCCGUUUCAAACGCUCGACUUGCGUACUACACUCCUUUCGUUUCCAGGAAGGAAGACAUGGGACCCUUGCAAUUCUAUGGAACUAACCUCGCAACCCUUCUCAUGAUUCACUUAAUUUAUUCGUAACAAAUCGUUUUCCAACUUAAUUCUGCUGCGAUUACCAUAUCGUAUCGUAUAUCGUAUGAUAUCAUAUCACAUCGUGUAUUAGAUUAUUACCGCACAAACGAGGUACAGAGAAAAUAUUUCUAUGAAUUAAGAGAAUUGAGUUUGUCAUAGUGUUACGAAUAUUUCGAUUUCUGCAAAUUUUAUAUUACUGUAGGAUCUGAACGAAAGAAAAGGUAUAGCCAAAAGAAUAUUAGUCGGAUCUUAAAAAUUCCCUUUCACAACCAAAUGUCAAGAAUCACAAUCCAAUGACACAUUUGAGUCGACUAAGAAUAAACAAUUCCAUACGAACAUAAUUAUUAACAUAGUUUACGUUUCAAAUGAUGCCCCUAAAAUAAUUACGUAAUCUUUUAAAUCCUUUUCAGAAUUGAAUAUCAAAAGUCAAUAGUCUCCUCCCCGUCAGUAAAUCAACUAAAACGAAAAUUCCAGACGUAAUGUAGGGUCAACAUCCUCGACGACUUGAUCAAACGUUUAACUUAAAAAAUCAACGCUUGUUUUAUGCUUGGUAAUUGACGUACCACGAUGCCCGGUGUCGCAUCUCCAGCAAGAUGGUCGAAGGUUGUUCCCCGGGGAGGCGUAUUUUCUCCCGACACCUUCAUUCCUCGUCUGGCAUAAUUACACUCGUCAGACUUGUCCCCCUUUGGGUCUCGUUUCUCCGCGAAAAACGAGAGCGAAAAAAAGAAGUGCGCGCGGAAUGUCUGGGAAGAGCGAAACGGAAGGAAAGGGUUGGGCGGUUCGCGAGGAGGCCCGUUAUCGCGUUGAUAACGGCUAGGGACACGGCGCACGAAACAGGCGACAUUCAUUAAUCGACGCCGCAGCGUCGUCACCCUUUAAGCGCAAAAGCUUUUGCGUCUCAUUAGUGUGACACCGAGAGAGGGUUGCUCCGAAGUGGAGCCACGCCAGCGCCACUUCACAUUCACCACUUUCCCUCUUUCCCUUCAACCCUUUUUCAGUCCACAGUGGCGUAGUCAGGAUUUUCAUUUGAGAAGUUUACCCUGCGCUUUCCUACCUACGCGAAACACGUUACGAAGUGCAAGAGAUCGGACUUCCUGAUAGCGAUUCACUGAGUCGCGCUAAUUUUCGCUAAUUCCGCCGAUGGCUUUUUAAAAAUACGAAAUUACUGGUGUUCUUGUUGUAUUUUUUCGCGUGAAAAGUAUUUAAGAGACAAAGGAAAGUUUGGGAACAGGGUGCUACGAGGCGAUUGCGGACUUUUGUGCAAAUUCGCGUCUUUGCGAACGCAGGAAUAAGAAACUGGAGAAAUGGAAUUUAAAUUACGAGGUUAUACUUUCGAUCUCUAAAUAUGAGAACACUCUGUUUCGGAUAUUGUUCCACAUUCAUGUAUUUUUCCAUAUUACAUUUUGCAUUUUUGCGCAAUUCGUAAAUUUUGAAAUACCUGCGCGAGAUACUUCUAAAUAAUAAAAGUCGGCUGUCUUUGAUGGGUAGAGAGAGAAAGAGAGAGAGAGAGAGAGAGCUUUAAAUGUUAUCGCAUGACAGCAAGAAAUCUCUUAACGAAAAUUGCUAAAUCUGUCAAUUUUUAUUAAGGGAAGGUCUAAAUUGGAAUUUACAAUAUCGCAUUGUGUCGAGAAAUGUCUGCCCGUUUAAAUUGCUAGACUCUUACUGUCAAUGAGAAAAGGAUUUAAAUUGUAGUUUCUACUAAUUGGAUUAGCCUUCGCUAAAUUUACGUCGAGGUAGCAUUAGUUGAGACACCACUGCAUGUUUUUACUAUAGGAGAAAGUAGUUUCUUUGGAGGAAGUACCCUUAAAGAGUCAAAGUCAGUUCAUGUAAAUCAGCCAACUGGCGGGUUUAGAGUGUAGCGUGCUUACCCACAAUUCUUAAGGUCUCGAGUUCGAGUCCCCUGGGGUUGUGAUAUUUUUCACAGACUUUCGUUACUCUAACGCUAAUAUACUAAAGCCCCGAAAGGUUGGGUGUGUUCUUCUUAAAAAAGCUUCUCUCUCCCUGCAUUAAAAAAUGGUCGGGUAAACAACACUAUAAAUAGGGGAAAGUCAGUCGCGGUUGUAUUUCACUGUCACUAUCCUUAGAAAUAACAUGUAGAGGAUUUUUAGAGAAAAAUUAGAUUUGCACUUCUUGGAUUCCCUAGAAAUACCUACGAACGAGUUUUUCGUCAUAAAGCUUUUCAGAUUCUGUCAAGUUAAAUACAAGGAAAAACAUUCUGGAAAAAUUAAAAGGGAAAAAAAUCUGGGUCGCACGUUGAUUAAUGUGUUGUGUUAUCAUUCUUUAACUCUUCUUCUACAUUCUUUCAUUCAAUUUUCGACCCGAUUAUAUCUUUUCUAUGUUAAAAACUAUCUUAAGGUAAAAACGAUCUUGAAUAAAAUAAACAAAAUUAAGAAAUACAAAGAAUUUUGAAAUUGAGAAAAAUGCAAGAGUAUCGUAAUAAAAGCAAGGGAUGUUAAAUGCAGAAUGUUGAGGAAUUUUGAGUAGUUCCUAAACUACGCCACUGUGGAUCCCUUCAUCGUCAUAAAGUAGAAAAGGGGAAAAGCAGGGAAAGAAGAAAAAGGGAGGGGGGAUGCGCGAGGUCCUCUUUUCCUCCACUUUGUCGAAUGUUCUGUUUAUACUUAGCCCCGACGUAGGCAAUAACAGCGACGAGAAGAAGAGGAACGUGUCACCAGUGGGCUGCCUUGAUGCGAUAACGUUGGAUUUGAUGUGGAUUACGGCGUACAUCAUAGGACUUUGUUUCAUAGCGAUUUUCGGCGACAUUUUGGUAAUCUUGUCCGUUGCAAUCCUUCUAUGGAAGACUGAUCGGGAAAAUAAGUAAUGAAAAUGAGCGGAAAACAGAGGGAGACGAGCAGGAAGCUGACAUUAUAUCGAUGUAGCAGGCUUGCAGGAUGGAAUUACGUUUUGCAACUGUGGAUAAAGUUGAAGCUACGUUGCCUCUUGAAGUUAGUUCACCGAUAUACCAUAAGUUUGAGAUUAAUUUAACCCUCGAAUAUAAAUAGAGAAGCAGCGACAGGGACCUGAUAUAUGGAUCCGCGAUGCCUAUUAACGAUCAACCCAAAAGCAUGAAACAGGAACAAAACUGUGGAAAAAAUGAAUGAACCCAUGCCUUCGCCCGUUGAAAAUUAUUCAAUUACAUGGCUUGAAGUUUUUCUUUGUGCGAAUUUCUAUUACCUACAAAUUAAAUACAUUAACGUUUUUCUUGAA